UUCAAUUUAUGUUGAUAUGUAUUUAAUUUGAUAUUUUAUAUAACCACAUCAUCCAUUCAUUCAUAUUUUGUUGACACAUGUAUCUUCAAGUACAAUUUGUGGGCUCUGUCCUUUUCCAAAAUUAGUUUAUAAAAUUUCUAUUUUUUCUUCUCUUUCCCUUCUUUUAUUCUUCACCCGUCUCCUAUAUAGCAUCUUCCUCAAUGCCACUGCCCAUCUUCAUAGCGCCAGAACCAUCGGCUCUAAAUACAACAUCAUCCUCCUCUUCAUCGUCAAGCUAACUAUCUUCAUCUUCUUCUUCGCCUU
This 303-nucleotide long non-coding RNA is filed under the name Nicotiana benthamiana. RNAcentral describes it as "long non-coding RNA (NBEN_LNC002924)". The record is from RNAcentral. Lineage: Eukaryota; Viridiplantae; Streptophyta; Magnoliopsida; Solanales; Solanaceae.